GACGAACGCUGGCGGCGUGCUUAACGCAUGCAAGUCGAACGGAAAGGCCCUGCUUUUGUGGGGUGCUCGAGUGGCGAACGGGUGAGUAACACGUGAGUAACCUGCCCUUGACUUUGGGAUAACUUCAGGAAACUGGGGCUAAUACCGGAUAGGAGCUCCUGCUGCAUGGUGGGGGUUGGAAAGUUUCGGCGGUUGGGGAUGGACUCGCGGCUUAUCAGCUUGUUGGUGGGGUAGUGGCUUACCAAGGCUUUGACGGGUAGCCGGCCUGAGGGGGUGACCGGCCACAUUGGGACUGAGAUACGGCCCAGACUCCUACGGGAGGCAGCAGUGGGGAAUAUUGCACAAUGGGCGGAAGCCUGAUGCAGCAACGCCGCGUGCGGGAUGACGGCCUUCGGGUUGUAAACCGCUUUCGCCUGUGACGAAGCGUGAGUGACGGUAAUGGGUAAAGAAGCACCGGCUAACUACGUG
This 468-nucleotide ribosomal RNA is filed under the name uncultured bacterium. RNAcentral describes it as "partial 16S ribosomal RNA". It matches the Rfam family "Bacterial small subunit ribosomal RNA", at positions 28 to 507 of the family's 1533-position model. The record is from RNAcentral.